RNAcentral lists this ribosomal RNA (445 nucleotides) under uncultured bacterium. RNAcentral's name for it is "bacterial SSU rRNA". It matches the Rfam family "Bacterial small subunit ribosomal RNA", at positions 354 to 796 of the family's 1533-position model. The record is from RNAcentral.
GUGAGGAAUAUUGGUCAAUGGGCGAGAGCCUGAACCAGCCAUCCCGCGUGCAGGAAGACGGCCCUAUGGGUUGUAAACUGCUUUUUUAUGGGAAGAAAAAGCUCUACGUGUAGGGCACUGACGGUACCAUAAGAAUAAGCAUCGGCUAACUCCGUGCCAGCAGCCGCGGUAAUACGGAGGAUGCAAGCGUUAUCCGGAUUUAUUAGGUUUAAAGGGUGUGUAGGCGGAAUGCUAAGUCAGUGGUGAAAUCUCUCGGCUUAACCGGGAAACUGCCAUUGAUACUGGUGUUCUUGAGUACAGUUGAAGUAGGCGGAAUGUGUAAUGUAGCGGUGAAAUGCUUAGAUAUUACACAGAACACCGAUUGCGAAGGCAGCUUACUAAGCUGUUACUGACGCUGAUGCACGAAAGCGUGGGGAGCGAACAGGAUUAGAUACCCUUGUAGUCC